This 410-nucleotide ribosomal RNA is filed under the name Actinomycetes bacterium. RNAcentral describes it as "Actinobacteria bacterium partial 16S ribosomal RNA". It matches the Rfam family "Bacterial small subunit ribosomal RNA", at positions 355 to 777 of the family's 1533-position model. Lineage: Bacteria; Bacillati; Actinomycetota; Actinomycetes. The record is from RNAcentral.
UGGGGAAUAUUGCACAAUGGGCGGAAGCCUGAUGCAGCGACGCCGCGUGGGGGAUGAAGGCCUUCGGGUUGUAAACUCCUUUCGACAGGGACGAAGCUUUUGUGACGGUACCUGUAUAAGAAGCACCGGCUAACUACGUGCCAGCAGCCGCGGUAAUACGUAGGGUGCGAGCGUUGUCCGGAAUUACUGGGCGUAAAGAGCUCGUAGGUGGUUUGUCGCGUCGUCUGUGAAAUUCCGGGGCUUAACUCCGGGCGUGCAGGCGAUACGGGCUGACUUGAGUGCUGUAGGGGAGACUGGAAUUCCUGGUGUAGCGGUGAAAUGCGCAGAUAUCAGGAGGAACACCGAUGGCGAAGGCAGGUCUCUGGGCAGUAACUGACGCUGAGGAGCGAAAGCAUGGGUAGCGAACAGGA